Molecule: long non-coding RNA, 3448 nt
Filed under: Sus scrofa (pig)
Lineage: Eukaryota; Metazoa; Chordata; Mammalia; Artiodactyla; Suidae
Description: lncRNA (ENSSSCG00005027891.1)
Source: RNAcentral
UGAAUACCCCACAGUAAAUGAUUGGUAUGAUGCCUUUAGCCAACUGGGUUUUACUUCUAUUUGAGUUUUAUUCUGUAAAUUUUAACCAGAUUGGAUUAUUACAAGUAAAAUUACAUGGGCAUGUUUCUAUAUUACUAACCAAUCUAUUUGUCUCCUUCUGUUUUUAUUAUGUUUGUGCAAAUCUUGUUUUUAUUAGAUUUAGAACUGUAAGAGGCUAAGAACAUGUAAGUGUGAUUCUCUUAGUUAGUAUUGACUUAGAGGUCCUCAAAGUGGGGUGCCUGGAUCAUUAGCAUCCCCUAGGAACUCAUUAGAAAUUCAAAAAUUGGAACUCCACUCCACACCUACUGAAUCAGAAAGUAUGGGGGCAGGGCUCAGAUAUCUGUGUACAGCUGAACCCUUCAGCCAUUCCAAUGUACUCUGAAGUUUCAGUAGCAAUGUAGUAACUCAUACUCACUUGGAAAGAAGCUAACUGAUGUUUGUUGGGCAGCUACCAAGUCAGUCACCAUAGUGGGCCUUUUCAUUAAAUUACUUCAUAUAAAUUCUAAUAGCAUAUGAGACAGUAUCAUUAGUAGACUCCACUCCUGACUAGAUCUGUGUCCUUGGGCUAAGUAUUUAAUGUAAUGUUGCUCAGUUAAUUUAUUCAUAAAACAGAUAUGUGUCUACCACUUGAGUUUGUUGGGAGGAUUAAUUAAAUUGACAAGUAUAUGAAAAAUACUAUUUAAUUCUCAUACUUGUUUUCUAUCAUCAUUAUUACUUUCAGUUAUAAGCAUUAUUGAGGCCUCAAUAACUUAAGUAAUUUGCUAGACAUGAUACAGCCAAAAUUUGAUCCUUGGCUGUUUUCCUUUAAAAGAAGAUCUGUUUUUGUCCUCCCCUCUCCAUCUGCAUACAAUAAUUACAUUUGUACAAUAUAUUUUGUCUCCUUUAUACAUGUACAUUUCUCCUUCUCCAUUAUUAUUUAUCUGAUAGCCUUCUCUAAAUAAACAUCAUAAGAGAGGGGUAAUACUUUGUAUUUUCCAAAAUCUGAUUUUAUGUUUAGAUGCAUAAUAGAUGUCCAGUAAACACUUGCUAAUUGUGAGAAAAAGUCAAUGGCUAAAACUUUCUUCAAACAUUGAUAAAAUGUCUGCUAGUGAAAUAAUAGAUUAUAGGAGUAAUAUUAAAGAAAAAUCUCUCUCCCCCCCCUCUCUUUUUAAAGGAAAUUGUCAGAGUAGCCUACAUAUGAAUACAAGGCUAAAUACUUGCAUGGUAUCUGGCUAAAUCUCUUUUAGUUAACAAUGUCCAGCCUAUAUAAUUCAAGGAGUAGAGAAUAAGAAAAUAUUGAUGGAUUUUUCUAUUUAAUAAAUAAAGAAAGAAACAGAAUAUUUAAGUAGUUGAAAGAUAUUUUACCUCAUAGAUACAUGGGAAAUAAUCUUAUGUCUUCAGAAUAAUUAUUUUUAAUACAGUUUGAGUAGUUUUCAUAUUGAGCAGUUGACAACUAGAAGAAAUAAGAAUGUUCAAGAAAAAUAUUUUCAAUACUAAAAUAACAAAUACUCUGGUGUAUAAAACUCUAUUCAUAAAAAUAUAACUUUUUUGUAUAUUUAUAACCACAUCAUAAUCCCCAUUAUGCCACCUAUAUUAGAAAUAUUCAUUGACCAUACAAACUUCUCAUACUCUUCUUUGUUGGUAAGAUAAUUGUUCAAUCUUUCCUCAAGAACUACAUAAUGUAUCAUAAUUGUUACUAGUGGCUAACUUAAGGAAUUCCCUGUGAUUGGAAGAGAAAAAUGAAAAAAUGAGAUAUGAGACUAAUAAACAAAUGGACAUCAACCAGACCAAAUAUGACACUAGAACUUUGACCACCAAGCCUGGGAGUCCAAAACACAACCUCUGCAACAACUGGGUCAGAAUCGUUAUGAAAGUCUAGGACUUUCAAAAUAUUUUCAAGUGAGUGAUUACCGACGUCCUUCAUUUUGGUCUCCUGUUUCUAACUCUGAAACUCUCUGCAACUUUGGCUGCAAAGAAACCACAAAUGCUUCCAAUCUUGUAGGAUGCCCUGCUUUUAGUUAACCCACCUCCAGCUUUCCCAUGCUAACAACCUCCACUUAGAGCAUACCCGAAGCUUUCUGUUUUAUGCCUAUAAAGUUCCAUGACACUGGCCUUGGCAAUAUUUUUUGGACACAACAAUAAAAGCAAAAGCAACAAAGGGAAAAAUUUUAAAAAAAUGUCACUAUAUCACAUAAAAAGAAAGAGCUUCUGCAUAGGAAAUAAACAAUCAAUGAGAUAAAAAGGCAACCUAUGGAAUGGGAGAAAAUAUUAGCAAAUUGUUAAUCUGAUAAGGCUUUAAUAUCCAAUAUAUAAAAACAACUUGUACAACUCAAUAACAAAAGCAAUAGAAACAAUCCAAUUAAAACAAGGGCAGAAGAAUUGAAUGGACAUUUUUCUAAGGAAGACAUAUAGAUGACUAACAGAUUCGUCAAAAUGCUGAAACCUCACUAAUCAUCAGGGCAAUGCCCUCAUCAGGGCAAUGCAAAUCAAACCUGCAGUGAGGUAUUUCCUCAUGCCUGUUUGAAUGGCUACAUCCUAAGAGAUGAGAUAACAAGUGUUGGUGAAAAUACUGAGGAAAAGGAACAUUUAUAUACUUUCAGUGAGAAUGUAAGUUGCUGUAACUGUGAUGGAAAAUAGUAUGGAAUAUCCUCAAAAAAUUAUAAAUAGAACAAAGAUAUGCUCCAGCAGUUCUACUUAUGGGCUUAUCUCUGAUUCGACCCCUAGCCUGGGAACCUCCAUAUGCCGUGGGAGCGGCCCAAAGAAAUAGCAAAAAAGACAAAAAAAAAGAAAAAGAAAUGUUCAAGGGUGAUGGUGAUUCAGAAAAGAAUGUGGGAUUUGAUAUUUUGGCAUUAUUGAAAAUAUGCAAUAAAAGUAUGUCUGUCAUUAUAGUUAUUAGGAUAAAAAACGAACUGUUAGAUAUAACAUGUAAGGGUAAACUACCCACACACAAGAAAAAUGAAAGAGAAAAGCUUGAAGAAAUAGGUGGAUCAAGGGCAAAGUUCUCCUGGACAGGUUAAGUCUUGAAACUAUAGUCUGAAAGGAAUGAUUAAAUGGAAAUAAGAAAUUGAUUGCCAUUAGAAAAAGCACUGAAAACAUAUUUAGGACAGGCAAGAGAAGAUGAAGACAAGAAUACACGAAGGAGAGAGAAAGUUCUUUCUUGGAAAUAAAGUAAUGGGUGAGGAACGGAUGAAGAUAACAAAUACAUUUUUUAAAUGGAAAUAGGAAAAUUGAAGUUGUUAACAUGAAUAACUUUAAUCCACUUUAAAACUUAUGAGCAAAUUAUGUCAUGGCAGAAGAGAGGUAGUUACAGAAAAGGGGGCACUGGAAAUAUUUCACUUUAGUGGCUAUUAGUAGUGUAAUGGGUAGGAACUGCUAUGAAAUAAUGAUGAUGAAAUGUGAGCAACACAUAGGGCUAAUUGUGUGUUAGAAU